Hordeum vulgare subsp. vulgare (domesticated barley) is the source of this 116-nucleotide non-coding RNA. NCBI's taxonomy places the organism in Eukaryota, Viridiplantae, Streptophyta, Magnoliopsida, Poales, Poaceae. The record is from Rfam.
CAUGUACUCCCUCCGUCCCACAAUAAGUGACUCAAAAAUGACUCAACUUCACACUAACUUUAGUACAAAGUUGAGUCAUGUUUGAGUCACUUAUUUUGGGACGGAGGGAGUAUAUC